GACGAACGCUGGCGGCGUGCUUAACACAUGCAAGUCGAACGGAAAGGCCCUGCUUUUGUGGCGUACUCGAGUGGCGAACGGAUGAGUAACACGUGGGUAACCUGCCAUCGACUUUGGGAUAACGUCAAGAAACUGGGGCCAAUACCGCAUAGGAGCUCAUGCUGCAUGGUGGGGGCUGGAAAGUUUUGGCGGAUGGGGAUGGACUCGCGGCUUAUGAGCUUGUUGGUGGGGUAGUGGCUUACCAAGGCUUUGACGGGUAGCCGGCCGGAGGGGGUGACGGGCCACAUUGGGACGGAGAUACGGCGCCGACGCCUCCGGGAGGCAGCAGCGGGGGAGAUUGCACCGUGGGGGGAAGAAGGAUGAAGCAGCGCCGCGGGCGGGAUGACGGCGUUCGGGGUGUAGAGAGCUUUCGCCUGUGAAGAAGCGGGAGUGACGGUAAUGGGUGAAGAAGCACCGGCUAACUACGUG
RNAcentral lists this ribosomal RNA (468 nucleotides) under uncultured bacterium. Its description in RNAcentral is "partial 16S ribosomal RNA". It matches the Rfam family "Bacterial small subunit ribosomal RNA", at positions 28 to 507 of the family's 1533-position model. The record is from RNAcentral.